AACACCAUCAAUAUUAACCAGGUUGACCUCGGAUCAGGUAGGGAUACCCGCUGGACU
Molecule: ribosomal RNA, 57 nt
Filed under: Penicillium oxalicum
Lineage: Eukaryota; Fungi; Ascomycota; Eurotiomycetes; Eurotiales; Aspergillaceae
Description: partial 28S ribosomal RNA
Source: RNAcentral